CUCUAUUCUCUAUGUUAUCUCCUCCUCAGUCACAUCUUUUUGGUGUGUGUGGACGUGUGUGUGUGUGUGUGUGGGUACAUGUGUGUGGGUCCACACGCAUGCUUGCAUCUGACGGAUUUUCUACUGGUUUGUAUUUUAGGCCUCUCAGGACCAGGAACGAGAAAAGCGAAGUUUGGAGAGUGGCAGUGAUGAACGGUUUUCUCGGUUUUAUGGGAACCGUUACUGGUAUCCAUUUGGACCCUACCAACCCUACCCACCCUACCCACCUUUUGGCUACCCCAGAUAUCCAUGGCUGUGGUAUUACUUUGUCUCAGCACCGCCUCCAGCAUCAGCUGCUCUUUCUAAAAAAAAUAAGUCAAACAGAGGACCAUGAGGUAAGUCCUAAUCACUCUACAAUGAAGUAAUAGUCCCCAACUCCAGUUCUGUCAGAACAUUCUAUCAAAGAGAAGUAAAAUGGUGCAGAAGGUAGACUUUG
This 475-nucleotide long non-coding RNA is filed under the name Phascolarctos cinereus (koala). RNAcentral's name for it is "lncRNA (ENSPCIG00000009679.2)". Lineage: Eukaryota; Metazoa; Chordata; Mammalia; Diprotodontia; Phascolarctidae. The record is from RNAcentral.